UGGUAAAGACUAUAAAUUCAAAUAAGAUUAACGAAAGGAUUAACAGUGCGUGAACAAAUAAUUUUUUUAAAUAUGCUUUGUUUGUUUUUUAGUUAAUUAAGUUAAGUUAAGCUUCUUUUGAGCAAAACAAAAAAUAAUUAAUAAAUAAACGUAUAUGCCGAAUGCAAAACAAAUUACUCUCUCAAAUGUAUGCAAAUAUGUGUUUUACUUUUGCAAAUAGCUUCAUUGAGCCGCAUUAAACGUGUAUGUGUUGUGCACAGACGGACUUUGUCACUAGCCAAAUUUAUGGAUUAUUUCAGUCUCGGGGAGACAAACAAAUAAUAAAACUGUUGCCAAUGGCAACUUUUGGCCUCUUGCCUCAAAGCGUGCGCUUGCUGUCCAAUUUCUAGCCAUUUUCUAGCGGCGGCUGAGAUUGAGUCAUGUUUGGCCACGCAUUCUCUCAACGGAAAUUGCAGUCAGUAUGGAAUUCAAUGCGUGGCAGCGAUUCUGAAAAAACAAUUUCUGUGGGCGUUGCAUGCAAAAUUAAAUUCUUAGCUUUAUGGUCAAACAACUGAAGCCGGCAGAGAGUCUAUUAAAUCAUGGUGUCAUUCGACUACCCAGCAAAACAGGCCAAUCUUUAUAGCGACUGGAAAUUUGAAUAAAUAUAACGAAAGCCAUGGA
Long non-coding RNA from Drosophila virilis, 660 nucleotides. RefSeq lists it as uncharacterized. The record is from RefSeq and is a predicted model, not a curated record. NCBI's taxonomy places the organism in Eukaryota, Metazoa, Arthropoda, Insecta, Diptera, Drosophilidae.